Molecule: ribosomal RNA, 630 nt
Filed under: uncultured bacterium
Lineage: Bacteria
Description: bacterial SSU rRNA
Rfam family: Bacterial small subunit ribosomal RNA
Source: RNAcentral
AGGGUUUGGAUCUACAUGGGCUCAGGACGAACGUUGGCGGCGCGCUUAAUGCAUGCAAGUCGAACGAGAACCGCUUGGUUCGCAAGAACCAGGCGGGGACAGUGGCGAACGGGUGCGUAACACGUGAGAAACCUGCCCCGAAGACCGGGAUAGCCCGGGGAAACCCGGAUUAAUACCGGAUACCCUCGUGGGAUCACAUGAUCCCGCAAGGAAAUGGUCCGCCGCUUCGGGAUGGUCUCGCGGCCUAUCAGCUUGUUGGUGAGGUAACGGCUCACCAAGGCAGCGACGGGUAGCUGGUCUGAGAGGACGAUCAGCCACACUGGGACUGAGACACGGCCCAGACUCCUACGGGAGGCAGCAGCAGGGAAUAUUGCACAAUGGGCGAAAGCCUGAUGCAGCGACGCCGCGUGCGGGAUGAAGGCUUUCGGGUUGUAAACCGCUUUCAGGAGGGAAGAAAAUGACGGUACCUCCAGAAGAAGGCCCGGCCAACUACGUGCCAGCAGCCGCGGUAACACGUAAGGGGGCCGAACGUUGUCCGGAUUUAUUGGGCGUCAAAGGGCUCGUUAGGCGGUUUGACAAGUCGGUCGUGAAAACCCGGGGCUCAACCCCGGGACGCCGGUCGAAACUGUC